AGAGUUUGAUCCUGGCUCAGGACGAACGCUGGCGGCACGCUUAACACAUGCAAGUCGAACGAGAGAAGAGAAGCUUGCUUUUCUGAUCUAGUGGCGGACGGGUGAGUAACACGUGAGCAAUCUACCUUUCAGAGGGGGAUACCGGAUUGGAAACGAUCGUUAAUACCGCAUAACAUAAUUGAACCGCAUGAUUUGAUUAUCAAAGAUUUAUCGCUGAAAGAUGAGCUCGCGUCUGAUUAGCUAGUUGGUAAGGUAACGGCUUACCAAGGCGACGAUCAGUAGCCGGACUGAGAGGUUGAUCGGCCACGAUUGGGACUGAGACACGGCCCAGACUCCUACGGGAGGCA
This 347-nucleotide ribosomal RNA is filed under the name uncultured bacterium. Its description in RNAcentral is "bacterial SSU rRNA". It matches the Rfam family "Bacterial small subunit ribosomal RNA", at positions 8 to 350 of the family's 1533-position model. The record is from RNAcentral.